Molecule: long non-coding RNA, 191 nt
Organism: Populus trichocarpa (black cottonwood)
Lineage: Eukaryota; Viridiplantae; Streptophyta; Magnoliopsida; Malpighiales; Salicaceae
Exons: 3
Source: RefSeq, a predicted model, not a curated record
CUGGAAACCUUUCUGAUUUCUAUGACAUUUGCAAAGGAUUAGAACUUGCUAGGAAUUUCCAGUUUCCUGUUUUGAGAGAGCCUCCAUAAUCCUUUCUUACAACUAUGGAAGAGUAUAUCAAAGAGGCACCACGUGUUGUUUCUGUUCCUAGUGAGGCAUUGCUUCAAUUGACAUACAGACCAGACGAAGGU